Podarcis lilfordi (Lilford's wall lizard) is the source of this 78-nucleotide non-coding RNA. Lineage: Eukaryota; Metazoa; Chordata; Lepidosauria; Squamata; Lacertidae. The record is from the annotation of a GenBank genome assembly.
GUUUGUGUUGCUCAGUGGCAGAGCUUCACAUGCCUUGGAAGCAGAAGGUCCCAGGUUCAAGCCCCAGUAUGAAGCCCU